CCUACGGGAGGCAGCAGUGGGGAAUAUUGCACAAUGGGGGAAACCCUGAUGCAGCGACGCCGCGUGAGUGAAGAAGUAAUUCGUUACGUAAAGCUCUAUCAGCAGGGAAGAAAAUGACGGUACCUGAGGAAGAAGCCCCGGCUAACUACGUGCCAGCAGCCGCGGUAAUACGUAGGGGGCAAGCGUUAUCCGGAUUUACUGGGUGUAAAGGGAGCGUAGACGGUUCGUCAAGUCUGGAGUGAAAUGCCGCAGCUUAACUGUGGAACUGCUUUGGAAACUGGCGAACUCGAGUGCGGGAGGGGUGAGCGGAAUUCCUAGUGUAGCGGUGAAAUGCGUAGAUAUUAGGAGGAACUCCGGUUGCGAAGGCGGCUUACUGGACUGUAACUGACGUUGAGGCUCGAAAGCGUGGGGAGCAAACAGGAUUAGAUACCCCUGUAGUC
Molecule: ribosomal RNA, 440 nt
Filed under: uncultured bacterium
Lineage: Bacteria
Description: partial 16S ribosomal RNA
Rfam family: Bacterial small subunit ribosomal RNA
Source: RNAcentral